Molecule: long non-coding RNA, 362 nt
Organism: Schistocerca serialis cubense
Lineage: Eukaryota; Metazoa; Arthropoda; Insecta; Orthoptera; Acrididae
Exons: 3
Source: RefSeq, a predicted model, not a curated record
GCUGAAGCAAGAGGUGGUUUCUGUUGCGCCAACGAUUAUCCUGUCUUCAAACGGAGAUCUUGAGCUGGUGUUGUCAGGGGGUGGUGGCAGAUAUACCAGCGCAGACACAGCUUAUGUUGCAAUUAACAGACUGAUUUUAAGACGACAUCUGCGGUCAUCUAUCGCGCAAACACGUCAUCAUGUUCUUCCUUUUACUGAUAUUGUUGCACAUGAGAGAAGAUCUCCUAAGGAUGAAACUGGAGCACUUAAGAAGCAUGAUGUAAAUGUUUCUGAAGCAUAUUCCUUUAGAACGGGUGUUAUUGGGGUAGCAAAUACCACUUCCAAUCAAUAUGUCGUCAGCCUUGAUCGUCGAAGAAGCACAG